UCGGCACCAAAAGGAAGAGGACUUUGCUGCCAGCAUCCUUGGGGGACUCCGAAAACACCCAUCUGAAGGAGGGUGGCAGAGGCAAACGGCUGCAGAUCAAGCCCAGGCUGUGAAGAAGAGCCCAACCCAACAGCAUCCAACCAGCUCAGGAACCGCAGAGCCGGGCACGACCCAGCACCUACCUCAGGACGCCGCGCCUGGACGUGGCACCUUCUUCUCUUCUUGCUCUUUGGGGACGUUGUUGUGGCAGGGAAUGGGGUGGCAGCACUGGGGCAGCACCACCCGCUCCUGCAGCUUCAUUGGGAGUAUUUUAAGUUGCCAAUAAAUUAUCUUGGUCCAGUUUAGUGAAGGCAAAACUCUGCUCCAGGCUCUUUGGAUGCUCACGGGGUUGGGAGGAGGCUCCCGUCUCCAUCAGUCCUCCUGCAGAUCACAGCUCUGCUGCUUGUCCAGGACAUGAGGUGAUGUCCCAUCGUGUGAUGUGCCCUUAUACAGGUCAGCCACUCUACUGGGAUCAAGGAUGUCCAGUGGUCUCAAGUCAUCACCACACUGGGAUGUAACAGGGCAUAAAGCCCCCCCAGAACUCCAGUCUCUCCAUACCAGCUCCAUCCAUCCUGCUCCAUCCCCUUGCUAUUGGGAGGGGAUUUCUUGGAGCAGAGCCAUGUGCCAAGAGCAUCCCAAGUGGAAACGUGUUGGGAGCAGCAUUGAGCUCACACCAAAGGCUCCUGCAGCGUGUCGGGGUCCCCAUGGCUGGUUACACCCUGAUUCCCAUCUCUCCUUAUCCCAGCAGGGGUUUGGUUUCCCUUGGGAGACCCAAUCCAGCUCUUUUGGGUCCUUCCCAAAUCCAAGCAGGAGCAAACCAUGGGAAGAGCAUUGUGCAGAGCGGAGUACUGGCCAUGCAGCUGCUGGUACAAUGGGUUUUGCAUCCAUGGGUUCAAUUUCCACCUGGAUUUCAAGGCAGUGGAUGCUGUUCCCACACACGGAUGCGAUUCUGGGCACAGCAACAGGACCAAGAGGUGCUGAGAGCCAUGUGUGGUGGCAGGAUUUGCCCAUCCACUGCCCCUCCAUCCCAUCCCCUGCAUGGAAAAGGCAUCAGCAGGGACAUGGGUGAGCACUGGGGCUCCCUGGGGACCCAGCACCCAGCUGGGCUUGGUGAUGGGGUGGGUGAUGGAGCCACCACGGUGCCAUGGGCUCAGCUGCACCGUGGAUACAAGGGGCUGAUGGCUUCAAUUUCACCCCUAGGGGACCCCCAUGGAGGGGGGUAUCUUGUCAUCACCCCACAUCUACAGGAUGGGGUGCUCUUGGUGGGGGAUUUAUCACCUGGCUCAAGUGACUUGGACCCUGGGAUGCCUCCAAAGGCACCAUGUGGCUCCUAUGUAAGGAUGCUGAACUGGCAAUGGUGUUUAGUGCCACUUGGACACCAGUUUGGGGUGGCCUCAUCCCCAUCAUCCCCCCAGCUAUUGUGAGGACCAGCAGCUCCCACCCCAGCCUGUGCACCACGAGCUGUUUUUUAGUGACUCCUUUGUUGUUUCCAUUUCUAUUAAAUGUCUUUGGCUCACCCUUGUGUUUUGAUAUGUAAAUAAAGAGGUUGUUCUCCGG
Strigops habroptila (Kakapo) is the source of this 1596-nucleotide long non-coding RNA. NCBI's taxonomy places the organism in Eukaryota, Metazoa, Chordata, Aves, Psittaciformes, Psittacidae. The record is from Ensembl.